Molecule: long non-coding RNA, 2292 nt
Filed under: Cinara cedri
Lineage: Eukaryota; Metazoa; Arthropoda; Insecta; Hemiptera; Aphididae
Source: RNAcentral
GUCUCGCGUGUUCAUGCGCGGUUGGCAGUAAUUUUAAUUUACCGGAAUCUCGUUUCGCUAUCAUACCGUGGCUUAUCUACGGUCAUAAAUCCUCGCUCCGUAAUUCUCGUAAUGUUUAUUUGUUUUUUUUUUUUUUCUUUCCGAAAACCAUUUCGUUUUAAUAUUAUAACCGGUAACGGUACGGACAACACGCGCGUGUAACGUCGCGGACGCGGUUUCUCCCGUCAGCGUCCUGGAUCGACCGGACCCUCGGUUCGACAGUCAAUGCCUACCGACCGGAUCCAACUCGGCGGUGUACCGAUACGCGCGGUUCUCGGUGCGUGCGCCUGGGAACAUUUGAACAAAGUACGUUCGUUUUGUUGUCGUGAUCGGUGUUCGGGGACCAACGGGCCGCGGCACCCGUCGGCCGAUAAACCGGCGCGUUGGAUAAAUCGCGUUCGGAGCCUAUUUAAUAACGGAAAUAAUCGCUCGGAAAACUAUCAGAUAGAAAAAAAAAAAAACAAACAAACAAAACGCUUUCAUCCUAUUUCACUCGUAACAUAACGCAUACAUUUCCACGGCACUCUACCGGAUUCGUUGUGAAAUCCAAACAAAGCGCUACGAGACCCGAACCCGAGCCGUGAUCAAAACACAAACGCGUAUAAUCGUUAGGUUCAGAUUUCAAUUUUAACGAACAUCGUUUAUCGAUAUUAUCUGACACCCGUUUGAUAGGAUUGAACAUUGGGGUGAAUCGAAAAGAGUUUUUCUCACUCCAAAUCAUUUUUCUUCUGCAAUACGAUUACGAGUUUGGUUUUCGAUCGGGAUGUUUUGUGUCAAUUAAUAUUAUACCGUUGUGGGAUACCUAUAUUUAAGAAGCGUUUUUAUAAUUACUCAUUCAAAUGUUAAUCACAUUAAUUUAUAAUUGUGUUCACAGUUUUUAACAACAAAAAAUUAAGAAAUAUACGUUAUGAAAAUGAAAAAAAAAAAAAUUGAAUGUUCUUCGACAAAUAAAAAAGUAAGUAAAUACACUAAUGUAAGUAAGUGGGUAACUAUAAAAUAUUAAUAUCCAUGCAUAUGACCCAGUAUAAGUAUAAAUAUUUUAAAAUUUGUAAUGAUAAUAUUUAAUUAGUUUUUUUUUUAACUCUGGAUCUCGUUUCGUUGAUUUUGUUCGUGCCCAUAUUUCACAUGUGUACAGUAAGUAGUAAGUAGUAUAAGUCUUAUGAGUACUUCGUAGUAUAGACUUAUUUUCGUCUUUUGUAACAGUAAUUCAAUUUUGACUUAAAUAACGAUUAGAAUUGGGAUUUUUGUUUUUUAAUAAUUCUCCUAUUGAAUAGAAAUUUAUUUCAAAACGUUAUUGUUACAAAUAUUCAACUUUAAUUUUGUAAGUUUUCCGGUUUUUUUUUUUUGUUUAUAAGUCCAUAGUUUGGCUUUUUUCUGUUUUUAAUCAUAUUUUUUACGAUAAAAACUUAAUAAUAAUAGAUAUUUAUAAAUAAAUUAGAUUCUAUAUUUAUUUGAAAUUUUACUUUUGUUAUUUUUAUAUCUAUAUUUUGACCAUUUUUCGUGUAAAUUUAGCUAUUUUUUAGUGCACCAUUCCAACCGUAAUAAUGACACAAGUUCAGCUGUUUUUCCCUGGUAAAACUCCUGAUGGCUAUAUGCUUGUUGGUUAAUGUUUACUCCUAGGUAUUUUAGUAUUAUUCAAUAAUAACAGAUUAUAUAAAACACUUUUGUUGUAAAAAAAUUGACAUAAAGCGUAUAUAAGUUUUAUUUACGAAACUACUAAGUUUCAGCUUGUGCUAAUAAAUUUCCUAUUCUUUUAAGUACUGGACUAAUCAAAUUAUUUUGGUCAACUGACAUUAAAAACUUUUUAUUACAAAAUAUUAUUAUUUAUUAUAUUGUCUAAAAAGGCAUAUUUUUAAUUGUUAUUCUAGAUUUAAUGAGCAAAUUCCAUACAAGAAAAUAUACGAAACAACUACUGAUAACAUCGUAUCUACAGGAAGAAAAUACAAUAAUACAAAUGGAGUGAGUAAUUAAAACAUUACCUUGCUAAUUUUAUCAAUUUUAAUUUUUAGUUUGUACAAUUUAUUUAUCUGUGCAUUGCCAUCAAUGUUGAAUGGUUACAAUUAAUUUGAAACAUUUCCAAAAAAUAAUAAUUGUUUUGAUUAUUAUUCUAGACCUAACGAGGGAACAAAACUAUAAGAGAAAUUACUAAUGACACCACGUCUUAUGAGAUUUAUGAACUAUAUCAAGUACAACAAAUUGAGUAAGUUAUUUGGACAUCACUUUGCACUUGUGAACAUACUACUAAUUAAUUAU